RNAcentral lists this ribosomal RNA (370 nucleotides) under uncultured eukaryote. Its description in RNAcentral is "partial 18S ribosomal RNA". It matches the Rfam family "Eukaryotic small subunit ribosomal RNA", at positions 592 to 975 of the family's 1831-position model. The record is from RNAcentral.
CAAUAGCGUAUAUUAAAGUUGUUGCAGUUAAAAAGCUCGUAGUUGGAUUUCUUGGAGGGUGCCAAUGUCCGCUACGGCGUGCGCAGCGGCGCCCUUCCAUCCUUCUGUUAACGCCUCUUGGCAUUCGUUUGCUGGUGGCGGGCUCAGAUAUUUUACCUUGAGAAAAUUAGAGUGUUUCAGGCAGGCUAGGCCGGAAUACAUUAGCAUGGAAUAAUGGGACAGGACUAUGGUCUCUUUGUUGGUUUGAGGGACUGCAGUAAUGAUUAAUAGGGACAGUUGGGGGCAUUAGUAUUUAAUUGUCAGAGGUGGAAUUCUCAGAUUUGUUAAAGACUAACUUAUGCGAAAGCAUUUGCCAAGGAUGUUUUCAUUA